This 497-nucleotide ribosomal RNA is filed under the name uncultured bacterium. RNAcentral's name for it is "partial 16S ribosomal RNA". It matches the Rfam family "Bacterial small subunit ribosomal RNA", at positions 28 to 507 of the family's 1533-position model. The record is from RNAcentral.
GAUGAACGCUGGCGGCGUGCCUAAUACAUGCAAGUCGAGCGAACAGACGAGGAGCUUGCUCCUCUGACGUUAGCGGCGGACGGGUGAGUAACACGUGGAUAACCUACCUAUAAGACUGGGAUAACUUCGGGAAACCGGAGCUAAUACCGGAUAAUAUAUUGAACCGCAUGGUUCAAUAGUGAAAGACGGUUUUGCUGUCACUUAUAGAUGGAUCCGCGCCGCAUUAGCUAGUUGGUAAGGUAACGGCUUACCAAGGCGACGAUGCGUAGCCGACCUGAGAGGGUGAUCGGCCACACUGGCACUGAGACACGUUCCAGACUCCUACGGGAGGCAGCAGUAGGGAAUCUUCCGCAAUGGGCGAAAGCCUGACGGAGCAACGCCGCGUGAGUGAUGAAGGUCUUCGGAUCGUAAAACUCUGUUAUUAGGGAAGAACAAAUGUGUAAGUAACUAUGCACGUCUUGACGGUACCUAAUCAGAAAGCCACGGCUAACUACGUG